This 253-nucleotide ribosomal RNA is filed under the name uncultured bacterium. Its description in RNAcentral is "partial 16S ribosomal RNA". It matches the Rfam family "Bacterial small subunit ribosomal RNA", at positions 524 to 776 of the family's 1533-position model. The record is from RNAcentral.
UACGGAGGGGGCGAGCGUUAUUCGGAAUUAUUGGGCGUAAAGGGCAGGUAGGCGGCUUCGUGUGUCUUCUGUGAAAGCCCUCGGCUCAACCGAGGAAUUGCAGAGGAAACUGCGGAGCUUGAGUCCGGGAGAGGAGAGUGGAAUUCCCAGUGUAGCGGUGAAAUGCGUAGAUAUUGGGAGGAACACCGGUGGCGAAGGCGGCUCUCUGGACCGGUACUGACGCUGAGCUGCGAAAGCUAGGGGAGCAAACGGG